GGAGUUCGAUCCUGGCUCAGGAUGAACGCUGGCGGCAGCUUUACCACAUGGCAAGUCGAACGGGAAGUGGUAGUUCCAGGGGCGACGGGUGGAACGGCUUAAGAACCUGCCCUUGGGCGGGGAGGGGAACAAACAACUGGAAACGGUUGCUAACCCCGUAGGCUGAGGAGCAAAGGAGAAAUCCGCCCAAGGAGGGGCUCGCGUUGAUUAGCUAGUUGGUGAGGCAAUAGCUUACACGAGGCGAUGUCAGAUUAGACUGGUCCGAGGAGUGAUGAAUCAGCACACUGGGACUGAGACACGGCCCAGACUCCUAGGGAGCGGCAGCAGUGGGGAAUUUUCCGCAAUGGGGCGACAGCCUGACGGACGGCAAUGCGCGGAGGUGGAAUGCCUCCGGGUCGUCAACUUCUUUUCGAGAAGAAACAAUGACGGUAUCUGAGGAAUAAGAAUCGGCAAUAUUUGCCAGCAGCCGCGGUAAGACAGAGGAUGCAAGCUUACCGGAAUGAUUGGGCACGGUAAGCGUCUGUAGGUGGCUUUUCAAGUCCGCCGUCAAAUCCCAGGGCUCAACCCUGGACAGGCGGUUUUGGAAACUACCAAGCUGGAGUACGGUAGGGGCAGAGGGACUUUCCGGGGAGCGGUUGAUGAAAUGCAUUGAGAUCGGAAAGAACACCAACGGCGAAAGCACUAGCUGGGCCGACACGCCACUGUGAGAGACGAAAGCUAGGGGAGCAAAGGGAUUAGAGACCCCAGUAGUCAUAGAGUAAACGAGGUACUAGGUGCUGUAGCGACUAGACCCGUGCGCAGUGCUGUAGCUACGCGUUAAGUAUCCCGCCUGGGGGUACGUUCGCAAGAAUGAAACUCAAAGGAAUUGAGGGGGGGGCCCGCACAAGCGGUGGAGCAUGUGGUUUAAUUCGAUGCAAAGCGAAGAACCUUACCGGGCUGACAUGCCGCGAAUCCUCUUGAAAGAGAGGGGUGCCCUCGGAACGCGGACACAUGUGGGGCAGGGCUGUCGUCAGCCUCGUGCCGUAAGGGGUUGGGUUAAGUCUCGCAACGAGCGCAACCCUCGUGUUUAGUUGCCACUAUGGUUUGGAACACUGAAACAGACCGCCGGUGUUAAGCGAGGAAGGAGAGGAUGCGGCAAAGUCAUCAGCCCCUUUAGCAUGGGCGACACAAGUGCUACACUGGGCGGGAGACAAAGGGUCGCGAUCUCGCGAGGGGAGCUAAACUCCAAAAACCGUCCUAAGUUCGGAUUGCAGGCUGCAACUCGCCUGCAUGAAGAGGAAUCGCUAGUAAUCGCGGUCAGCCAUACGGCGGGGAUGAACCGUUCCCGGGCCUUGUACACACCGCCCGUCACACUAUAGAGAGCUGGCCAGGUUUGAAGUCAUUACCUCAACCGUAAGGAGGGGGAUGCCUAAGGCUGGCUUGCGACUGGAGUGAAGCCUCGUCACAAUGUGCCCGUACUGGAAGGUGCGGCUG
Molecule: ribosomal RNA, 1473 nt
Filed under: Saccharum spontaneum (wild sugarcane)
Lineage: Eukaryota; Viridiplantae; Streptophyta; Magnoliopsida; Poales; Poaceae
Description: bacterial SSU rRNA
Rfam family: Bacterial small subunit ribosomal RNA
Source: RNAcentral